Molecule: long non-coding RNA, 1693 nt
Organism: Chinchilla lanigera (long-tailed chinchilla)
Lineage: Eukaryota; Metazoa; Chordata; Mammalia; Rodentia; Chinchillidae
Exons: 3
Source: RefSeq, a predicted model, not a curated record
ACACAUACACACACAAACACAUACACACACACACACCAUCCGGGUAUGGCUCUGUCAAGCAAAUGACAAGGGGAAAGGAGUUACAGGGAUGCCCGGCAGAAGUUCCGUUCUGUUCUGGUUGAGGCGACGGUGAAACUGGAGGAGCUGGUGAAGAAAAUUGGCAAAGCUGUGGAAGACUCAAAGCCUUACUGGGAGGCACGGAGGGUGGCAAGGCAGUGAAAUUCCACGAGGAACCCCAUUUGGUCUGUCGCGUGUUUACCCUGCCAGCAUACGGAAGGUUUCCAGAUCCUGAGCAAACGAGUAAAUGGACAAACAGGUGAAUAAAGUGCUGAGGAGCCACUGAGGGAUCAGAGCCUCACCCCUUGCCUCUCUUGAUGUGCUCCUCCUCUCCGUGGCCCUUUGCCCCCGGCUUCUUCACUGCUGGGCAGUUUGGCAAGCAGGGAGGAAAUCCAGCUUUGUCUGGGCUGGGUUCAUCCAAAUCUCACUUGGUGUUGACCAUGGCGCAUCCUGGAGUAGAUUCCAUACCACUCCUUGACUGUACGCCAGAUUGUCGUUGGGAAAAGUGACGGGAGGAACUGCGUUUGGGAGGCGCCCAGUCUGCUGGGAAGCAGAGGAGUCUGACCUCUCUCCGUCCUCGCAUGCCUGCUCUUGGCCGGCAAGAACAGUCAUCACGACAGCCCCUGAGUCCCUCAGGGAAGCCUCUCAGUCAUCGGGUCUAAUGAGAUACUGCCCAGGUCCGGGGGCUGACUGACUCACUUCAGGAUGGAUGCGGAGGGAGCUGUGCCAGCUCUGUGCUUGCUGAUCCUCCCCAUAACCUCCUCCCUGCUUGCAGGUGGGGAAGGAGAGUGCAGAAUGGCUAAAGUCACCCCUUGUCCUCAGCCCCAAGGGACUCUGUUGGCCUCUAGUCGAGGAACUGGAAGGAUGCUCAAAGGCUGAGGCUGACACGGAUGUCGUGCUUCGUCUCUGUGGAUGGCGGGUCACCUGGACUUGGACCGGAUUCUGUGACUGUUCCUCUGACCUUCCUGGUGGAGAAGUGGGUGGCGUCCGCCUCCAGCUGUGCCAAGCAGGGCUUCCUGUUUUCUGCCCCUGGCCUUCUCCCCACCCCCUUCCUUUUUUUGUACUUGCAGACCCAUCUGAGUAUCCACCGCAAGGGCGACUGUCUGAGAGAUUCCCUCAGAGCAGCUCCUCCAAGCGUGUGUCAUGAGCCUCAGCGUGCUUGUGAGACAUUCAGAGUCAAGGGACCGGCGAGGCGCUUGGGACUGAUGUGACAGUGUGUCUGACAGUGAACUCCUUACAUGAGCUUGGGCUUCAGCUUCGUUUAAAAAAAAUUAGGGUUUACUGGGGAAAUUUUAGAAAAGAAAAAGAAGUUCUGCGUGCUGGUGUACCCCCUACUCUCUUUUAAGUCAGCGAUUGUAUUGUAGUAACGGUUUUAUAUGUCUGGAAUGCCCGUGUCGUCCGGUCAUUCAUCCGACCAGUUUGUCUGCCUGACAUCAGCAGGUACUUAUACAGAGGAAAGCCUUCCCCGUUCCUGGAUUUUCUGUAAAGAGUUUAUAAAGUUCUCAGGUCAGGAGAAAUUGUUAUGUGUCCAUCAGAGUGUAUACUGACUUCGUUGUUCUCGAUGUCAAUUCAUUUUCCUAUCUGCGAGUCUUAAUCGAAUCCUGUGAUCUUGAAAAUAAAUGCGAAUCUGCUGAGC